RNAcentral lists this long non-coding RNA (5097 nucleotides) under Podarcis lilfordi (Lilford's wall lizard). The record is from RNAcentral. Lineage: Eukaryota; Metazoa; Chordata; Lepidosauria; Squamata; Lacertidae.
ACAAUAAAAGUUUUGUGGCAGUGAUGAUCUUUGUGAAUUUUAUUAUAGUGGAUUGGAAUUACUUGACUUUAAAAUGUAUGGGUUAAAAUCUAGACGUUGCUCCAUAAUCUGAUGUUACAUUUCAGACAAUGAUGAAACCCAGGCAUCCACAAGCUUAUGCCUCAUCAUGGGAAUUGAUUCAUCACACUGUAAUCAGUCUUUUGGUUCUUAUCUGAAUACAGAUUAAGAUGCUGGAAAAGAUUUACAUCUUUGUGCUGUAGACGGAAUGCACAAGAAAAAUAGAUUUGACUAGUGAUAGGGUUUAGCCUCAGUACCAAUUACUCAGAAAGGUGACCUGUAAAAGAUUAUUUCUAAACUGGAUUGAUCCCAUUUCCCUUUCUUUUUUAAUAACGGAAAAGAAGACUAGAAAUAGUGCAAACCUUUCCUUUCCCUUCCCAUUAUUUACAACAGCAAUGUCAAGUUAUGGCCUCUCCAUAGCUGCCAACUUACAGAUUUGAAAAUAAGGGAUCAGCAGCCUCGAAAAUAAGGGAUAGGCAGCCAAAAUAAGGGAUUUUGGCUUAGCUUAUACAGAAAUCCGCCACUGAUGGAACCAUGCUGCUUUUGCUGCCACUGACUGUGUUUUGCAGGGGGUUGGACUAGAUGAUCCUAAGGGUCUACAACUCCGACCAAAGAAGAGUGGCAGACAAAACUGAUGAACGACGUUGAGAUGGCAAAGCUUACAGGCAGAAUUAGAAACUAGGAAGAGGACCUCUUUAAUAAAGAAUGGGGAAAGUUUAUAAUUUAGUUGAAAAGCUAUUGUAAAGAGUUACAUACAUUGGUAGGAUUGACAGAAAACUUGUAGUAAAAAUUUGAACUAUGGAUGGACAAAUGAUUUAUAAAAAUAGAGUUAUGAAAGGGAUGCAGAGGGGGAAAUCACUACAUUAAGAUGCUGCACUAGUUGGAGGGUAUGCAAGGCAGCACGCCGGGCCUGCCGUCGUCCUGGCAUGAGGAGUUCCAUCGGCCCUUCCCCGCCCGAGAGAGACUCUCGCCCAUGCCACCCGCGAGCCCGGCAUGAGGCGGUUGCGGUGCCAUGGCGGCCGCUGAAGUGCCGACCUUCUGCGUCCCUCCCCAUCCCCUCCUCUUCCUCCUCCCUCAGGCCGCCGCCUCAGCCGCCACCGCUGCCUCCGGCUUCCCCUGGCAGCGUGGCGGAAGUCUCGCAAGAGAGGGGCUGCCUGUCCGCCCGCUGCCGCCCGUCUUCUCAUGACGCGCCCCUGAGGGGGAAAAGGGAGAGAUGGAGACACGGCAGCUCGUGCGCGCGCUCUCUCGCGCGGCGGAGGACCCCGAGCCACUGCUUCCCUCCCGAGCCGGGCGAGCAUGAAACUCAGGAAAUUUAAGGGACAUCACCAAAUUUAAGGGACACGGCGCUGGGAUAAGGGAGUUUCCCGCCAAAUAAGGGACGGUUGACAGCUAUGGGCCUCUCUUAAUUUUGUUAUAGACCCCUAAAUAGCUAAAAUGUUUUCCACAAGUAUCCAAAGACCUCAGUAUCCAUAUACCCUGAAUGCAACCAUCACUGUUUUAUUGUUUGAAUGCACUAUAAACCACUCUGGCAUCUUAUUUUUUAAUAAAUGUUUAUGACCUGAUCAAAGAUAAGAUUCACAAACAUGGCCUUUUGCCUGUUAUCGUGGUUUAUGAAAAGGUUAAGCGAGGACAGUGUUUAGGUAACUAGAAAAGAAUGUGAUGCAAGAGCCAUACUGUGAGGUAAGAUGUCAUGGCAACAGAAAAAGAAACAAGAGAAUAAUAUGACCCACAAAUCAUUUAAAUCAGCCUGUGCUGUAAUACUGAUGUUAGCAUCUGAGGCAAUACUUUCCCUUCCAGAGUCUAGACCAUGAUAGACUAUUAAAAUAAUGAUCAGCAUAAAAUAUAGCUUGGCAAUCUUACGCUUGUGAACUCACUUCCUUCACCCACGUUCUAACAUUUUCUUCCUUACUUCUUAAUCUGUGAUAACUGCAGUAUCUGAUAAACUAUAGUCUGAUGUGGCAUCUCUAUUAGGCAAACCACAGUUGCCAUAAAACAGCCUUCCCUAACCCAGUGCCUUCCAGAUUGUUUUUGACUACAACUCCCAUUAGCUCCAGCUAGCCCAGUUGUGCUGACUGGGGCUGAUGGGAGUUGUAGUCCAAGCCAUCUAGAAAGCAGCCAUUUGGGGAAAGUUGCCACAAACCAUAGUUUGCCUCCAAACUGGAAUUGGAAACCUAGUUCACACAAUGUUUUUUAAUAUUGGUUUUCUGAAGAACUGAAUUUUGCCUAACUUUGAUGUCAUGGGAUACUACUGUUAUCACAAAGAAUGGAUCAGGGAACUGGAGCAUACAACAACAUGAGGCAAGUCCCAGAUACAGUCCUUUAGUCAAACUAAACCAUGAUCUCUUUCAUUUCAGCAUGGGUCACAAUCAGGUAUUAUGAGGUAGUUCACAUGGUCUUUGUUCCAGUCAACCAAUCACUGGGCACAGAAGUGCCUGCUCAUUUGAAUAACCAGCCUUAUAUAAGAGUUUACCUCCAAUGAAGGUUCAGGCAUUUGCAGGCAGGCAGUUAGACAGGCAGACAAGCAGUCUUGCAGUCUCGGUGUAUGAAACAAAAUGGCUUCACGGAGACUAAUGCGUAGGAGACCACGGCCACGACCACGACCACGGUACAGGGGGAAGGCCAGGAGAAGGCACACAGUCCGAAAGAGAACUAUAAGGUCUGUGAAAAGAUACAGAAGGCAGAAACCAAGAAUUAGAACUGCCUCCAAGUUGCCAAGGAGGAUCCGGUCUAACAAGUUCCGAAUGACCAGAGAUGCUUGGGGCAUGUUGCACUCCUAUGUAGAUGGCAUCUACAGGAAAGUGUCCGGGGAAGCUGAACGCCUAAGGAGAAAGGAGCGACGCCCCUCCAUAAUUUCCUCAGAUGUGCAAACUGCCUUGAGGCAAGUCAUGCCAAGAAAAUACACCAGGCGAAUUGCCUUCAGCAAGACUCGUUAGAAAAAGUAUCCUUUCCCUUCUCUAUGGCUGGCUUAUUAAGGCUAAGAACAGAAAAGAGAAAGGGAAAGUAUGGACACCAGCCUGAGAGAAAUUACAAUCUUCUGCCUGCCUAAAAAAGAUCGAACACGGCCUUCAAACUGCCAAGGAAUCCUGUAACCUACCACAUUUUUUCUAAACCAGCCUCACUACCAACUAUUGUUUGAAGAUGAAGAAGAAUCUGGGAGAGACCAGGCCCAUCACUACAACAACAAUGCCAUCCUAAUAAAAUCAACCUUCUGUUUAGGUAUUUUCUGUUAUGCGUGGAAGCAACUAUCAGACUAUGAAAUACCAAAGGCUUUCCAUCUUUGUGAAUCUGAGUCAGCAGAGAGAGAUCAACCAUACUUAGAAAUGAAAAGACUAUGUGAGGUGUUUCCUGAAGGGGCAUUUCCCUUGCAAUAAAACAGGAUUAGCAGGAUUGUUCAUUGCACGUCUCUUUUUUAUAACGGGGUCUGAAACUCUGCGUGUGUCAGGGUUGGGCAGUAAUUUAAGGAGAAAGAGUUUUAUUGAAUCGGGGAAUCAUGAUGGAAGAUAGGUCAUCACUGAGGGUGCCAGAGGAAUCACCUGAUAAGACCUGAUUCACACAUUCUUUUUUUCUGACGAUGUGAAAAUAGCAAGGUUGUAACAUGGUGGUUGUAUGAAACAGCUUUCAAAGUUACAUCUCAUGGACUAAGGGUUCUUAUGAAUUUGACAAAAAUUAAAGGGUUCUCCUAAGUGUCAACAGGCUGCAUAUGGUCUUCACGGUGCCAUAUACUGAAAGUUCAGUUUUCUUAUUGCAGUAUGCCGUUAAAAACGAGAAACUGCAACAACUGAAGAUAGUAAUUGGAAUCUUUAGUUUACAAAAAGGUGGGCAACCAGUAGGUCAGAUUCUCACUCCAUAGGCCAACUUUAACAAGUUGGCACAAUAGCCCACCUGACAUUAUUAUGACAUCAGAUGAUUGAGAGAUGCCUUGUCCCACCCACCUGUCAAAGCCCAUUGGCCAGAGCAAGUGUGGAGAACCUUUGGCCCAACAGUUGUUGCUGAACUACAAUUCCCACCAUCCCUGGUCAUUGGCCAUGCUUACUGGGGAUGAUGGGAGCUGUAGUUCAACAACAUCUGGAGGACCAAAUAUUCCCCUGGUACAGAGCUUCACAAGCACCUGACAGUGGCUGGUUCUCACAUGCUUAGGAAUAUAAUCAAGCAAUUUCCAUUGAAACCACUGCCCAAACAGAACUUGGUGCUUCUGGAACAAGGCAUACUUACCCUGCUCAUUAAUUCACUUUAAGUUAUGAUUAUUCCUUUUUGCCCCACCCUGAUGUCACAUAUGAUGUCAUGUGAGCAUGGUGUUUUUUUUUUAAAAAAACUGCCUCACAGACCAGAAGGGAAGGAGCUGGUGAGUCAAAUGUGGCUCACGAGCCAAAGUUUCCCCAUCCUUGGUUCAGAGCAUAUUAUAAACUCACAAACACAUGCCACCAUACCGGUACGAGAACAACUCUCAUUGCUUGGGUUACACUUUCUUGUUAAAGAAAACAUAGUAUGAGAAAGUUCAGCAGACAUGGAAGUGAUAUUUUCCCCCUAAAAAAAAUUAUAGCCUAAAUAAAAGUUGAAUGGCUAUUUUUCAAAUUAAGUUAUUUACUUUCUUCCUGGCUGAUGCAGCCUCUAAGCCUUAGAAUCCCAAACAGGGUGUUAGAUUCUCAGGAACUCCUGCCCACAAAUGUGUUUAAAAAUUUACAUGAACAGCCAGUUUUGAUAAUACACUUUUAUUGUGUAUGCUCCAAAAUCAUUCCUAGAGGAGACACUAUUGGAAGAAGCCCAUAAUCAAUAAAUCCUGUAAUUCUGAGUAAAUGGUGCCCCAUAUUGAACCAUUGAAGUUGGUCCUGGCUCCUGGUAAUUAAUUUCAGCUAAAGGUUCCACCUUGCCGUAAAAUACUUAUCAUGAUACAGUGCUAAAAACAGAUAGUAUGUGUACAGAUGCAUUUGCUAAACCUGAAUAACAAUAACCACAACAUCUUAUAUCCCACCCAUCUGACUGGGUUACCCCAGCCCCUCAGACCAGCUUCCAAUAAAUUAUAAAGGGACAAAACAAAACAUC